Molecule: long non-coding RNA, 1572 nt
Organism: Oncorhynchus mykiss (rainbow trout)
Lineage: Eukaryota; Metazoa; Chordata; Actinopteri; Salmoniformes; Salmonidae
Source: Ensembl
AUGUUUUUCGCGACGCGGAUCCUGUGUUCUGCCUUUCACCCAGGACAACGGAAUGGAUCCCAUGCAGCGACCCAAAAAAACGAGUCUGAAAAAGAGGGAAACGAGGCGGUCUUCUGGUCAGACUCCGGAGACGGGCACAUCGUGCACCACUCCCUAGCAUUCUUCUCGCCAAUGUCCAGUCUCUUGACAACAAGGUUGAUGAAAUCCGAGCAAGGGGAGCAUUCCAGAGGGACAUCAGAGACUGUAACGUUCUUUGCUUCACGGCUCACUGGAGAGACGCUAUCGGAGGCGGUGAAGCCAGCGGGUUUCUCCACGCAUCGCGCCGACAGAAACAAACAUCUUUCUGGUAAGAAGAGGGGCGGGGGCGUAUGCCUUAUGGCUAACGAGACAUGGUGUGAUGAAAGAAACAUACAGGAACUCAAAUCCUUCUGUUCACCUGAUUUAGAAUUCCUCACAAUCAAAUGUAGACCGCAUUAUCUACCAAGAGAAUUCUCUUCGAUUAUAAUCACAGCCGUAUAUAUUCCCCCCCAAGCAGACACAUCGAUGGCUCUGAACGAACUUUAUUUGACUCUUUGCAAACUGGAAUCCAUUUAUCCGGAGGCUGCAUUCAUUGUAGCUGGGGAUUUUAACAAAGCUAAUCUGAAAACAAGACUCCCUAAAUUUUAUCAGCAUAUCGAUUGCGCAACCAGGGGUGGAAAAACCUUGGAUCAUUGUUACUCUAACUUCCGCGACGCAUAUAAGGCCCUGCCCCGCCCUCCUUUCGGAAAAGCUGACCACGACUCCAUUUUGUUGAUCCUUGCCUACAGACAGAAACUAAAACAAGAGGCUCCCACGCUGAGGUCUGUCCAACGCUGGGCCGAACAAGCUGACUCCACACUCCAAGACUGCUUCCAUCACGUGGACUGGGACAUGUUUCGUAUUGCGUCAGAUAACAAUAUUGACGAAUACGCUGAUUCGGUGUGCGAGUUCAUUAGAACGUGCGUUGAAGAUGGCGUUCCCAUAGCAAUGAUUAAAACAUUCCCUAACCAGAAACCGUGGAUUGAUGGCAGCAUUCGCGUGAAACUUAAAGCGCGAACCACUGCUUUUAAUCAGGGCAAGGGGACUGGUAACAUGACCGAAUACAAACAGUGCAGCUAUUCCCUCCGCAAGGCUAUCAAACAAGCUAAGCGUCAGUACAGAGACAAAGUAGAAUCUCAAUUCAACGGCUCAGACACAAGAGGCAUGUGGCAGGGUCUACAGUCAAUCACGAACUACAAGAAGAAAUCCAGCCCAGUCACGGACCAGGAUGUCCUGCUCCCAGGCAGACUAAAUAACUUUUUUGCCCGCUUUGAGGACAAUACAGUGCCACUGACACGGCCUGCAACGAAAACAUGCGGACUCUCCUUCACUGCAGCCGAGGUGAGUAAGACAUUUAAACGUGUUAACCCUCGCAAGGCUGCAGGCCCAGACGGCAUCCCCAGCCGCGCCCUCAGAGCAUGCGCAGUAGUUUUGGAAUUGUUAGUUAGAUUACUUGUUGGUUAUUACUGCAUUGUCGGAACUAGAAGCACAAGCAUUUCGCUACACUCGCAUUAA